This 72-nucleotide transfer RNA is filed under the name Marmota monax (woodchuck). It matches the Rfam family "tRNA". Rfam says of the family: Transfer RNA (tRNA) molecules are approximately 80 nucleotides in length. Their secondary structure includes four short double-helical elements and three loops (D, anti-codon, and T loops). The record is from Rfam by way of RNAcentral. Lineage: Eukaryota; Metazoa; Chordata; Mammalia; Rodentia; Sciuridae.
UGGGGUACAGUUCAGUGGUGAAGUGCAUGCUUAACAUGCAUGAGGCCCUGGGUUCCAUCCCCAGCACCCAAA